GGUGGGGUCCUCCGCAAUGCUGGUUGCUUUGCAGAUGCAGCGUGUGGUGUAGAUAUCUGAGAUGGUGGGGAGAGAGACUCCGAUGAUCUUUUCGGCUGUCCUCACUAGUCGCUGCAGGUUCUUGCGGUCCAUGCUGGUGCAGUUUCCAAACCAGGCAGUGAUGCAGCUACUCACGAUGCUCUCUAUAGUCCCUCUGUAGAAUGCGGGGAGGAUGGGAGGCGGGAGGUGGGCUUUCUUCAGCUUCCUCAGGAAGUGGAGACGCUGCUGGGCUUUCUUCACAGAAACAAAGAACAUUGACAUUG
Amblyraja radiata (thorny skate) is the source of this 302-nucleotide long non-coding RNA. RefSeq lists it as uncharacterized. The transcript has 3 exons. The record is from RefSeq and is a predicted model, not a curated record. NCBI's taxonomy places the organism in Eukaryota, Metazoa, Chordata, Chondrichthyes, Rajiformes, Rajidae.